This 672-nucleotide non-coding RNA is filed under the name Pongo abelii (Sumatran orangutan). Lineage: Eukaryota; Metazoa; Chordata; Mammalia; Primates; Hominidae. The record is from RNAcentral.
CCAACGACCAAAGCAAAGGACAGCAUAACUGAAUGACACAUUGCUCAGAAAAUAUCCAAAGCUCUGUACGCUCUGGAAAGGAAGGCAAGAAUUGCUAAAGACUCUGGAUAUUGCUCUGUUUCUAUAAGGUCCCACCCAUAUACCAUCUCUUCUUUUGGAUUUCCUUUGGCAGGGUUCCCUUGUAUGGAAGUUCUCGGGAGAACAACACUCUCAGAGUCCCAUUGUCUCAAAGAAUUCUUAAUGGACAGCUAUACUUGGCCCCAAGGUUCCAACCUCACAUUGAAGAAAGUGACAUAAGAAAACACAAGUCCCAGCGCUAUCAGGGGCUAUCUGGAAAAGCUGCUUAAACGGCAAGUGAAAGAAGGCUCUCCCCUACCCCGUUCUAGAUGGAGUCUUGCUCUGUCACCCAGGCUGGAGUGCAAUGGCACGAUCUCAGCUCACUGCAACCUCCGCCUCCCAGGUUGAAGCAAUUCUCCUGCCUCAGCCUCCUGAGUAGCUGGGAUUACAGACUCACCCUGAAGUUAUUUGAAGGAUCCUUGAAACUCUUUUGGAUUGCUGCUUGGAGAACAUUCCUGUAACUUGUUCCUGCUCCUUGAACUAUAAAAGCAGAAGGGAAUUACUGAGUUAAAACUUAUAAAUUAUUAUCAAAUAAAUCUUCAACAGUGGUUCAGU